RNAcentral lists this non-coding RNA (35 nucleotides) under Geobacter sulfurreducens PCA. Lineage: Bacteria; Pseudomonadati; Thermodesulfobacteriota; Desulfuromonadia; Geobacterales; Geobacteraceae. The record is from RNAcentral.
UUGAUGUCAUCGCCCACCUGAAGGUACAGGUCGCC